UACGGAGGAUGCGAGCGUUAUCCGGAUUUAUUGGGUUUAAAGGGUGCGUAGGCGGGCUUUUAAGUCAGCGGUAAAAAUUCGGGGCUCAACCCCGUCCGGCCGUUGAAACUGGGGGUCUUGAGUGGGCGAGAAGAAGGCGGAAUGCGUGAUGUAGCGGUGAAAUGCAUAGAUAUCACGCAGAACCCCGAUUGCGAAGGCAGCCUUCCGGCGCCCUACUGACGCUGAGGCACGAAAGUGCGGGGAUCGAACAGG
Molecule: ribosomal RNA, 252 nt
Filed under: uncultured bacterium
Lineage: Bacteria
Description: partial 16S ribosomal RNA
Rfam family: Bacterial small subunit ribosomal RNA
Source: RNAcentral